This 433-nucleotide ribosomal RNA is filed under the name Klebsiella pneumoniae. RNAcentral describes it as "bacterial SSU rRNA". It matches the Rfam family "Bacterial small subunit ribosomal RNA", at positions 543 to 976 of the family's 1533-position model. The record is from RNAcentral. Lineage: Bacteria; Pseudomonadati; Pseudomonadota; Gammaproteobacteria; Enterobacterales; Enterobacteriaceae.
UAUCGGAUUACUGGGGCGUAAGCGCACGCAGGCGGUCUGUCAAGUCGGAUGUGAAAUCCCCGGGCUCAACCUGGGAACUGCAUUCGAAACUGGCAGGCUGGAGUCUUGUAGAGGGGGGUAGAAUUCCAGGUGUAGCGGUGAAAUGCGUAGAGAUCUGGAGGAAUACCGGUGGCGAAGGCGGCCCCCUGGACAAAGACUGACGCUCAGGUGCGAAAGCGUGGGGAGCAAACAGGAUUAGAUACCCUGGUAGUCCACGCCGUAAACGAUGUCGAUUUGGAGGUUGUGCCCUUGAGGCGUGGCUUCCGGAGCUAACGCGUUAAAUCGACCGCCUGGGGAGUACGGCCGCAAGGUUAAAACUCAAAUGAAUUGACGGGGGCCCGCACAAGCGGUGGAGCAUGUGGUUUAAUUCGAUGCAACGCGAAGAACCUUACCU